AAGAAAAGGUCAGGAUAGCUCAGUUGGUAGAGCAGAGGACUGAAA
RNAcentral lists this transfer RNA (45 nucleotides) under Briza maxima. RNAcentral's name for it is "partial tRNA-Phe". RNAcentral also lists the same sequence under 1 other name. The record is from RNAcentral. Lineage: Eukaryota; Viridiplantae; Streptophyta; Magnoliopsida; Poales; Poaceae.